AGAGCGAACGCUGGCGGCAGGCUUAACACAUGCAAGUCGAGCGGGCGUAGCAAUACGUCAGCGGCAGACGGGUGAGUAACGCGUGGGAACAUACCUUUUGGUUCGGAACAACACAGGGAAACUUGUGCUAAUACCGGAUAAGCCCUUACGGGGAAAGAUUUAUCGCCGAAAGAUUGGCCCGCGUCUGAUUAGCUAGUUGGUGAGGUAACGGCUCACCAAGGCGACGAUCAGUAGCUGGUCUGAGAGGAUGAUCAGCCACAUUGGGACUGAGACACGGCCCAAACUCCUACGGGAGGCAGCAGUGGGAAUAUUGGACAAUGGGCGCAAGCCUGAUCCAGCCAUGCCGCGUGAGUGAUGAAGGCCCUAGGGUUGUAAAGCUCUUUUGUGCGGGAAGAUAAUGACGGUACCGCGAAGAAUAACGCCCCGGACUAACUUCGUGCCAGCAGCCGC
This 450-nucleotide ribosomal RNA is filed under the name uncultured bacterium. RNAcentral describes it as "SSU rRNA". It matches the Rfam family "Bacterial small subunit ribosomal RNA", at positions 26 to 518 of the family's 1533-position model. The record is from RNAcentral.